RNAcentral lists this unclassified non-coding RNA (240 nucleotides) under soil metagenome. RNAcentral's name for it is "partial contains 5.8S ribosomal RNA, internal transcribed spacer 2, and large subunit ribosomal RNA". The record is from RNAcentral.
AACUGAUACUACCUGCGGGAACCUGCGGAGGGAUCAUUAUUGAAUUUUCCAAAGAAAAAUUUUGUACUUGUUUCUUUCUCUUGAAAGAGAGGAGAACAGUGCAUAUUUUUCCUCAAACAAACGAUCACAACUAAAUUGUGUGAAGGAAAAGGAAAAGGAAAAGGAAAAUUGAUUUGGAUUACCUAGAUUACAAGUGUUUGCCUGAUAAUCAAGAUGAUUUGGAUUGGAGAAAGAAAUACA